AUUGAACGCUGGCUGCAUGCUUUACGCAUGCUAGUCAGACGGCACCACACAGAAUCUUGCUUCUUGAGUGGCGAGCGGCGAACGGAUGAGUAAUAUAUCGGAACAUACCGAGUAGUGGGGGAUAACUAAUCAAAAGAUUAACUAAUACCGCAUAUUCUCUGAGGAGGAAAGCAGGGGACCUUCGGGCCUUGCGUUAUUCUAGCGGCCGAUAUCUGAUUAACUAGUUGGUGGGGUAAAGGCCUACCAAGGCGACUAUCAGUAGCGGGUCUGAGAGGAUGAUCCGCCACACUGGGACUGACACACGGCCCACACUCCUACGGGAGGCAGCAGUGGGGAAUUUUGGACAACGGGCGCAAGCCUGAUCCAGCCAUGCCGCGUGUCUGAAGAAGGCCUUCGGGUUGUAAAGGACUUUUGUCAGGGAAGAAAAGGACAGGGUUAAUACCCCUGUUUGAUGACGGCACCUGAAGAAUAAGCACCGGCUAACUACGUGCCAGCACCCGCGGUAAUACGUACGGUGCGAGCGUUAAUCGGAAUUACUGGGCGUAAAGCGAGCGCAGACGGUUACUUAACCAUGAUGUGAAAUCCCCGGGCUCAACCUGGGAACUGCGUUCUGAACUGCGUGACUACAGUGUGUCAGAGGGAGGUAAAAUUCCUCGUGUACCAGUGAAAUGCGUAAAGAUGUGGAGGACUACCGAUGGCGAAGGCAGCCUCCUGGGAUAACACUGACGUUCAUGCUCGAAAGCGUGGGUAGCAAACAGGAUUAGAUACCCUGGUAGUCCUCGCCCUAAACGAUGUCAAUUAGCUGUUGGGCAACUUGAUUGCUUAGUAGCGUAGCUAACGCGUGAAAUUGACCGCCUGGGGAGUACGGUCGCAAGAUUAAAACUCAAAGGAAUUGACGGGGACCCGCACAAGCGGUGGAUGAUGUGGAUUAAUUCGAUGCAACGCGAAGAACCUUACCUGGUCUUGACAUGUACGGAAUCCUCCAGAGAUGGAGGAGUGCCUUCGGGAGCCGUAACACAGGUGCUGCAUGGCUGUCGUCAGCUCGUGUCGUGAGAUGUUGGGUUAAGUCCCGCAACGAGCGCAACCCUUGUCGUUAGUUGCCAUCAUUUAGUUGGGCACUCUAAUGAGACUGCCGGUGACAAGCCGGAGGAAGGUGGGGAUGACGUCAAGUCCUCAUGGCCCUUAUGACCAGGGCUUCACACGUCAUACAAUGGUCGGUACAGAGGGUAGCCAAGCCGCGAGGUGGAGCCAAUCUCACAAAACCGAUCGUAGUCCGGAUUGCACUCUGCAACUCGAGUGCAUGAAGUCGGAAUCUCUAGUAAUCGCAGGUCAGCGUACUGCGGUGAAUACGUUCCCGGGGCUU
RNAcentral lists this ribosomal RNA (1363 nucleotides) under uncultured bacterium. RNAcentral's name for it is "bacterial SSU rRNA". It matches the Rfam family "Bacterial small subunit ribosomal RNA", at positions 28 to 1382 of the family's 1533-position model. The record is from RNAcentral.